Molecule: ribosomal RNA, 1680 nt
Filed under: Triticum aestivum (bread wheat)
Lineage: Eukaryota; Viridiplantae; Streptophyta; Magnoliopsida; Poales; Poaceae
Description: partial small subunit ribosomal RNA
Source: RNAcentral
AUGAAUCACGGGGACCCAGGACACCGCUGUAGGUGUUCCCAUGGACCGCGGUGUGCCGGUGCGCCGCCCCAGGAAGGCCUCGCGGCGGCGGCCCUGGACAGCCGUGUGCGGCCCCUCCCCAUGGGCGCCGAGGCGGAGUCCAUGCUGCGGCAGAUCGGCGCGUACACGCCCAACCUCGACGCGCACACGGUGACCCUCCUCUCAUGCGUCCACUCCGUCCUCCCUCCUCCGCCCGUCGCCUCCAACCACGCCGCCCUCUCCGCCCUCCUCCCCCCGCCCCAGGACGGCGGCGACGACCGCAUCAGCGGCCUCCCCGACAAGCUCCUCCGCGACAUCGUCUCCCGCCUCCCCGUCAAGGACGGCGCGCGCACCGCCGCGCUCUCCUGCCGCUGGCGCGGCGUCUGGCGCUCCGUGCCGCUCGUCCUCGUCGACUCCGACCUCCUCCCCGUCCAAACCGGCUCGGGCCUGCAGGUCGCGCACGCGGACGCGCAGCGCGUCGCCUCCGCCGUCACCCGCAUCCUCGACGCUCACCCGGGCCCCUUCCGCUCCGUCCACCUCAUCUGCAGCUUCCUGGACAAGUGCCCGGACCUGCUCGCCCGCUGGCUCCAGCUCCUCGCCGUCAAGGGUGUCCAGGAACUCGUCCUCGUCAACCGCCCGUGGCCGCUCAACAUGCGCAUCCCUCCCACCUUCUUCGCCAUGGCAACCCUCACCCGCCUGUACCUUGGCGUCUUCGAGUUCCCUGACACGAGGAUCCUCCCGCGCGCCGCGUCAUUCCCACACCUCCGCGAACUCGGCCUCUGCUGCGUCCAGAUCCUGAGGAGGGAGGACAUGGACUUCAUCCUCGCCAGGAGCCCCGUGCUGGAAAUCCUAUGCAUCCAAGUGAACAUGCUGAUGAAACACCUACUCCUCGUCAGCCGCAGCCUCCGUUGCGUGCAGGUCAUCGAAAGCAUUGAUCUGAGCAUCGCAGUGAAAGACGCCCCGCACCUCGAAAGGCUCAUCAUCUGGGCAGCAACGGUCCGCGAUGGCUUGCCCAGGAGGGUCAAUAUUGGCCAUGCCCCUGCACUAAGCUUGGUUGGCUAUCUGGACCCGGAACGGCACAGCCUAGAGAUCGGCAACACCGUCAUCAAGGCUGGGACAACGGCGAGUCCGAGCACAAUGGUCCCAAGCGUCAAGAUCCUCGGCGUAAGAGUGUGCUUUGGAGUCCGCAACGUUGCGAAGAUGCUGCCCAGCUUCCUCAGAUGCUUUCCCAACGUCGAGAGGCUGCAUCUUGAGUCCAACGAAACUUAUGAGCCCACUGGCAAGCUCAACAACCAGUUCUGGCAGGAGGUUGGCGCUAUCGAAUGCGUGCAGUCACACAUGAAGCUGAUGGUCUUCUACGGCUUCCGAGGGGAGCGGGGCGAGCUUUCCUUCCUCAAGUUCGUCCUGGAGAGCGCACUGGUGUUGACAAAGCUGGUGAUCGUGUUCACCAAGGGGAGCUUCACCUCAAUGGCAGAGGCCAGCUCCAAGGUGAAACCUCUGUUUGCUGCAAAAUGGGCCAGCAAAGACUGCUCACUGGUGCUCUUGGAGAGUGUGUUUCAAGCAGGGGAAGACAAGUGGUUGCUCAACUUCAAAGCAGGGUCUGAUUUCUCUACAGGGGACCCAUUCACGCGCACCGCUGCUCUUCGUGGCUGCAACUUUUAA